GAUGAACGCUGGCGGCGUGCCUAAUACAUGCAAGUCGAACGCUGGAAUUCUAGCUUGCUAGAUUGCAGGAGUGGCGAACGGGUGAGUAAUACAUAAGCAACCUACCCACGAUGACUGGGAUAAUCCCUGGACACGGGGACUAAUACCGGAUAGGUAAUCGGAAGGCAUCUUCUGUUUAUUAAAGGGUAAAAACACUGGUGGAUCGGCUUAUGGGGCAUUUGUUAGUUGGUGGGGUAACUGCCCACCAAGACGAUGAUGCGUAGCCGGCCUGAGAGGGUGGACGGCCAGAUUGGGACUGAGCCACGGCCCAGACUCCUACGGGAGGCAGCAGUAGGGGAGUAUCGGCAAUGGGGGAAACCCUGACCGAGCGACGCCGCGUGAGUGAUGACGGCCUUCGGGUUGUAGAGCCCUGUUGUAAGGGAAGAACGGUAGAUAGAGAAUAUCUAAAUGACGGUACCUUACCAGAGAGCCACGGCUAACUACGUG
Molecule: ribosomal RNA, 486 nt
Filed under: uncultured bacterium
Lineage: Bacteria
Description: partial 16S ribosomal RNA
Rfam family: Bacterial small subunit ribosomal RNA
Source: RNAcentral